This is a long non-coding RNA of Brassica oleracea var. oleracea, 581 nucleotides long. RefSeq lists it as uncharacterized. The transcript has 3 exons. The record is from RefSeq and is a predicted model, not a curated record. NCBI's taxonomy places the organism in Eukaryota, Viridiplantae, Streptophyta, Magnoliopsida, Brassicales, Brassicaceae.
CUUUUCUUCGUGAAGCAGAGAUUUCAACCUAAAUCAAAAUCGAGUCCAGCAUCUACAGAGAGGAAAUCAGAUGGAUCUAAGCUCGGGUUCAUCAAGAAACAGUAGGAACAGAGGUUAUGGUAAUCGCAAAAUGUGUGCUUGUCAGUUGCCUGCGAAGAUUUUCACGGCUUGGACAGAUAAGAAUCCUGGCCGAAGGUUCUAUGGGAGGGGGGGAAUGACCAUUGCUCUUACUUUGCGUGGUUUGAUGAAGAAGAAGUGAAAGGUUGGGCUAAGAGGGCUUUGAUUCAAGCUCGGGAUGAAAUACGAGAGAAGAAGAAACGUAUCAAUGAACUGACGGCCAGUAUCAAUGAGCUAACAGCUACUGUCAAUGAGCUUCGUAUGGAGUUGGAGCAGAAGAAGGUUGAGAAACCAGGUUCUCGUGAAAUGGUUGUGUAUCGGUGAUGCAUAAUAAUGUGAAUUGAGCUUAAUGUAAUGGUUUGUACUUUGUUAUUGGUGUAUCAGUCAUGCAUACAAUGGAAUGGUUAUGUAUCGGGUUGACCUUUAAUGUUGUUGAACAAUGUCAAUUGUGGAAUAUUUUCAUC